This 431-nucleotide ribosomal RNA is filed under the name uncultured bacterium. RNAcentral's name for it is "partial 16S ribosomal RNA". It matches the Rfam family "Bacterial small subunit ribosomal RNA", at positions 29 to 507 of the family's 1533-position model. The record is from RNAcentral.
AGCGAACGCUGGCGGCAGGCUUAACACAUGCAAGUCGAGCGCCCCGCCAGGGGAGCGGCUGACGGGAGAGUAACACGUGGGAACAUACGUUUUGGUUCGGAACAACUGAGGGAAACUUCAGCUAAUACCGGAUAAGCCCUUACGGGGAAAGAUUUAUCGCCGAAAGAUUGGCCCGCGUCUGAUUAGCUAGUUGGUGAGGUAACGGCUCACCAAGGCGACGAUCAGUAGCUGGUCUGAGAGGAUGAUCAGCCUCACUGGGACUGAGACACGGCCCAGACUCCUACGGGAGGCAGCAGUGGGGAAUAUUGGACAAUGGGGGCAACCCUGAUCCAGCCAUGCCGCGUGAGUGAUGAAGGCCUUAGGGUUGUAAAGCUCUUUUGCCCGGGAAGAUAAUGACGGUACCGGGAGAAUAAGCCCCGGCUAACUUCGUG